UGAGGAAUAUUGGUCAAUGGACGGGAGUCUGAACCAGCCAAGUAGCGUGAAGGAUGACUGCCCUAUGGGUUGUAAACUUCUUUUAUAUGGGAAUAAAGUGCAGUAUGUAUACUGUUUUGUAUGUACCAUAUGAAUAAGGAUCGGCUAACUCCGUGCCAGCAGCCGCGGUAAUACGGAGGAUCCGAGCGUUAUCCGGAUUUAUUGGGUUUAAAGGGAGCGUAGGCGGAAGCUUAAGUCAGUUGUGAAAGUUUGCGGCUCAACCGUAAAAUUGCAGUUGAUACUGGGUUUCUUGAGUGCAGUAGAGGUAGGCGGAAUUCGUGGUGUAGCGGUGAAAUGCUUAGAUAUCACGAAGAACUCCGAUUGCGAAGGCAGCUUACUGGACUGUAACUGACGCUGAUGCUCGAAAGUGUGGGUAUCAAACAGG
This 424-nucleotide ribosomal RNA is filed under the name Bacillota bacterium. Its description in RNAcentral is "Firmicutes bacterium partial 16S ribosomal RNA". It matches the Rfam family "Bacterial small subunit ribosomal RNA", at positions 355 to 776 of the family's 1533-position model. The record is from RNAcentral. Lineage: Bacteria; Bacillati; Bacillota. RNAcentral also lists the same sequence under 1 other name.